Molecule: long non-coding RNA, 328 nt
Organism: Pseudophryne corroboree (corroboree frog)
Lineage: Eukaryota; Metazoa; Chordata; Amphibia; Anura; Myobatrachidae
Exons: 3
Source: RefSeq, a predicted model, not a curated record
CCGCACUGGUGGCGACAUCAUGUAUUCGCCGGAGAUGGCAAGUAAACUAGUGGUCCUGUGCGCUAUACUACACAACAUCGCGGUAAGGAGUAGCGUAGAGCUUCCUCAGACAGAGGAAUUGCCUGAUGAGGAGCCAGGGGUUGUCCGACACUUCGGUGGGGGGAGUGUUACACGGAGGGGGAGCCAAGUCAGGGCAAGCAUUGUUGCAGAAUAUUUCAGCUGAAUGAUCACACAAACUGUGGACGACCACAACGGCAAAGACAUCCAGUGAGCCCACAUCAGGCAGCUUCUCAGCCCCCUUCCCCUUCUCACUCCCCCUCCACUUCCC